CCUACGGGAGGCAGCAGUGGGGAAUAUUGCACAAUGGAGGGAACUCUGAUGCAGCGACGCCGCGUGAGUGAAGAAGUAAUUCGUUAUGUAAAGCUCUAUCAGCAGGGAAGAAAGUGACGGUACCUGAAAAAGAAGCUCCGGCUAAAUACGUGCCAGCAGCCGCGGUAAUACGUAUGGAGCAAGCGUUAUCCGGAUUUACUGGGUGUAAAGGGAGAGUAGGUGGCAGAGCAAGUCCGAAGUGAAAACCCAAAGCUCAACUAUGGGAAUGCUUUAGAAACUGCUCAGCUAGAGUGCAGGAGAGGCAA
RNAcentral lists this ribosomal RNA (305 nucleotides) under uncultured bacterium. RNAcentral describes it as "bacterial SSU rRNA". It matches the Rfam family "Bacterial small subunit ribosomal RNA", at positions 338 to 660 of the family's 1533-position model. The record is from RNAcentral.